This 231-nucleotide unclassified non-coding RNA is filed under the name fungal sp. Its description in RNAcentral is "partial internal transcribed spacer region". The stretch from base 1 to 46 matches the Rfam family "Eukaryotic small subunit ribosomal RNA", at positions 1786 to 1831 of the family's 1831-position model. Lineage: Eukaryota; Fungi. The record is from RNAcentral.
AAGUCGUAACAAGGUUUCCGUAGGUGAACCUGCGGAAGGAUCAUUAACAAAUCAUGUUUGCGUAUGGGGUUUCCCUAUACGCAUAUCAACCCGACUCGGGUGUCCGAAAGGUAUUCGAGUCAAUCUUGAGGAGUGCGAAAGUGCUUCUCGAGACAUUUACGCUUGUAUUGUUUGACAGAGUAACAUGCCAAAUAAAAGAUACAACUUUUAACAAUGGAUCUCUUGGCUCUU